GAAAGUUGAUCGUACCAAAACGAAAUUCAAUUCAAUAUCACUGCUCUUUAUUGGACUUUUAAGCUUUUCUGGUUUCAAAAAAAAAUUAUGGCUUCUCGAAGGCGGAUGCUGCUCAAGGUCAUAAUCCUUGGCGAUAGUGGGGUGGGAAAGACAUCUCUGAUGAACCAGUAUGUGAAUCGCAAGUUUAGCAACCAAUACAAGGCCACAAUUGGAGCUGAUUUCUUGACAAAAGAAGUUCAGUUUGAGGAUAGGUUGUACACAUUACAGAUAUGGGAUACAGCUGGGCAGGAAAGGUUCCAAAGCCUUGGCGUGGCUUUCUACCGUGGAGCAGAUUGUUGUGUUCUAGUGUAUGAUGUGAAUGUCAUGAA
This 368-nucleotide unclassified non-coding RNA is filed under the name Hevea brasiliensis (rubber tree). The record is from RNAcentral. Lineage: Eukaryota; Viridiplantae; Streptophyta; Magnoliopsida; Malpighiales; Euphorbiaceae.